UACGUAGGGCGCAAGCGUUUGUCCGGAAUUAUUGGGCGUAAAGAGCUCGUAGGCGGCCUGUUGCGUCCGCUGUGAAAUCCCGGGGCUCAACCCCCGGGCCUGCAGUGGAUACGGGCUGGCUAGAGGCAGGCAGGGGGAGAACGGAAUUCCUGGUGUAGCGGUGAAAUGCGCAGAUAUCAGGAGGAACACCGGUGGCGAAGGCGGU
Molecule: ribosomal RNA, 205 nt
Filed under: uncultured bacterium
Lineage: Bacteria
Description: partial 16S ribosomal RNA
Rfam family: Bacterial small subunit ribosomal RNA
Source: RNAcentral